RNAcentral lists this ribosomal RNA (253 nucleotides) under uncultured bacterium. RNAcentral describes it as "partial 16S ribosomal RNA". It matches the Rfam family "Bacterial small subunit ribosomal RNA", at positions 524 to 776 of the family's 1533-position model. The record is from RNAcentral.
GACGAGCUCCCCGAACGUUAUUCGGUAUUACUGGGCUUAAAGAGUUCGUAGGCGGUCUGACAGGUCAGGUGUGAAGUCCCUCGGCUCAACCGAGGAACUGCGCUUGAAACCGUUAGACUUGAGGGAGAUAGAGGUGAGCGGAACAGAUGGUGGAGCGGUGAAAUGCGUUGAUAUCAUCUGGAACACCGGUGGCGAAAGCGGCUCACUGGAUCUUCUCUGACGCUGAGGAACGAAAGCUAGGGUAGCGAACGGG